GUAACUAUUGCUGUAGUAGUUAUCUGUUAACUGUCAUACCUUAGGGUUACAACGGUAAAGCAUUAAUUUUACAGUUUACUUUUUGAUGAGAAACUACAGAUUAGACAUCUUGGUGCCCACCUGCAGCGGAAUAUUGUCAUAAACCAAACCCCUGGUAGAAAUAAUCAGAAUUAACGUGGAGUGUUUUUCGGGAACAAAAUGGCUAACUGCUAGCUUGUUAGCGAAGAUGGUUUUUGCUUCCCUGGGUUUUAUUCGGUGAGGAUGGUAGUUUACCUGGUCAAGAGAACAGGCAUUUAGAAUCUCAAGCAUCUUUCUGAGAGGAUUACCAAACAUGAAAGCAGCAAAACUGGACUUUUCUUCGGCUAACAUAACAUUAGCUACCCAGAUUGACACCAGUCAAACGGGGAUUUAGCGGCACAGCAGCUCCUUGAGGAGAACGGGUCAAACCGAGGGUGAAGAAAUCAUCACCUGUUGCUGCCCAGGUGCACUCUGACUUGUCUUUGGUGACCAUUUUGCCUUUAAUGGGCUGUGCAGGGGCAGAUUUGGCUUGGCGGCCCACUUUCAGCCCUGGCUUGUCCUUGUGUUGUCCUCUGUCCACGCCUCUUCCCCUCCGUCCAUGGCUCUUCUGGCAGCUGCUCAACACCAGCUGAUGGGAAAUACAAGCGAGGACCAGCAGGAUGGUGGCAUUGACCCUUCCUUUGGAUUACACAACCUGUGAGCUCUGUUCAUCUGGAGGAUCCUACAAGACUUUGCAUUUACUGCAGAGGAAAUAAAUCUAAGCGAACAUGACAGGUAGUGUUGGGGAAGACAGGGAAUGCCAAGUCCCGGCUUGUUCUUACACACUCUUUGCCUUGGCAGGAAUGCUUUUGGAUAAUAGAGCUUCAGUGAUCCUCAACAGAACCCAGUGUACUGUGUCAUGUCGCAGCUCCUAUUAGGUGAAGCAUGGCUGCCUGCUGUAUGUUAACUGACAGCCAAGGAGGAGGCUGUUUAACUGACCCUCAGGAACCAAGCUAUUUCUGGUUAUGUACCAUUUAAGUACAAAUAUAAUACAAAAACACUGAUAUAUAUAGAACAAUAUAUUGUCAAUAUUUACACUGAUGUUUCACAAACUGGUCUUAUACGUAUAAACUGAUGUAAUUUUUGUUUGUCGCCUGCU
Molecule: long non-coding RNA, 1156 nt
Organism: Epinephelus fuscoguttatus (brown-marbled grouper)
Lineage: Eukaryota; Metazoa; Chordata; Actinopteri; Perciformes; Serranidae
Exons: 4
Source: RefSeq, a predicted model, not a curated record